RNAcentral lists this long non-coding RNA (380 nucleotides) under Monodelphis domestica (gray short-tailed opossum). Its description in RNAcentral is "lncRNA (ENSMODG00000040333.1)". Lineage: Eukaryota; Metazoa; Chordata; Mammalia; Didelphimorphia; Didelphidae. The record is from RNAcentral.
AUACAACAAACUGCCUUAGGUUUUCUUUGAUUUACAGGUUUUCUUAUUUUUUAAAGGCCUACAAGAAAAAGCAAAGGCUUAAGGGAAAGACUGAAAUUUCCAGAGUGUUCCCUCAUCACACACACCCCUUCACACAAGCCUGGCAGAGUUGGAAAGAAACUAAGAUUUCAAAUAAGGACAUCGAGGACCAGGAAGUAUAAAUCGCUCAGGGUCUCUUUGAGUAAGUAUUUCAAACUCAAAUUCUCCGAUUCUGCAACUAAUACGUACGCAUCGAGGUUGUAGGAGCACUUGCUCGGAGAGCUGUACGACUAGAUUCUACCGGUUCCGAGAUGCUUUCCAGGCUCGAGACUGCCCAUUCACAGAGAGAGCGAAAAAAAAAG